RNAcentral lists this long non-coding RNA (15438 nucleotides) under Brassica napus (rape). Its description in RNAcentral is "long non-coding RNA (BNAP_LNC001805)". The record is from RNAcentral. Lineage: Eukaryota; Viridiplantae; Streptophyta; Magnoliopsida; Brassicales; Brassicaceae.
UGAGACGCCGCGGGCUGAGCCACGCUGCCUUCGAGGACCAGGCCCCCGAGCCUGAACUUGUUCUUCGUCGGAUUCGCCGCGAAUUUCUCCAUGGCGUCGGAGGGGGUUAGGUAGAAGACGAGCUGGUCUUGGAACUGGUUGAGGACGAUCACCACGAAGCCCGCGAUGCAGCUGAACGUUAGCGCGUAGGUCCAUAGGCGGCGGUUCUGCAUCUGGCGCGCUUUCGCUCCUAUGUCGAUCUUCUUGGGGCGGGCUGGGCCGCGGCGGAGGGUGGAGAGAGAUCGGAGGAGGGUGUGGGAAGAGAGUCGCGAGAGAUCUGGUGAGGCGGUGGUCAACGAGUGGAGGAUCGUCGGCGGAGAUUCGAAGAUUUGAGGAUGUCUUUGAGCAGAUCGGAGGAUCUGAGAACUCCGACGGAGCAUGAAUCUGGCCGCCAUGUUCUCGUGGGGGAAUCAGAUUCCGAGAAAGUUCGUGAGGUUUAUGGAGAAAGUGGCCGCCACUGACUAUGGUCCACGUCACGAAACCUCUGCGUGGUUUAGAGGGUUGCUUGUAUCGACUUAUUUUGACCAAUAUUUGAUAUAUUUGGUUAACAUAAGCACAGCCCAGUUGUUUGGUUCAAGUAAUUUAUUUUUUCAUUAGUUUUAGUUUUCGGUUAGAUUAUGAUUUAAUUUUCUUCAAAAUUCAGAUAAUCUUUGUUAAAUUUGGUUUUCGGUUAAUUCAGUUAGUUCUUUUAAUUCAUACAUAAUUUUGGUUUGAUUUGGUAUAAAUUGGUAUGAUUUAUGAUUUAGUUGGGCCUUUUAUUGAACUAGCCAACUACCAAACGAAUCAAUAACGGCCGUAGGAAUAAUGUUAGUUACUUAUAUGCAAACUUGCAAAUAAAGAGGCAUCAGGUACAAUCAGUUCAAUAUUAAUGUAAAGCUGGGUGACUUGUUGCCAACUUAAACCUAAAUGAAUUAGAUCUACUUUGUUGGCUACGCUAAACUAUAACUGAAAUCCCUAGGAAUCUUUGAUUCGAGACUGAGAUUGGCACGGUCAUGACCUAAGUCGACCAGAACAAUGAUGAUGAACAUUCAGACAUGGGUUUUGUGCAAAAGGACACAAAUUGAUCAAGUAUUGUCCUGCUCUGUUUUUUUUUUCUCUACGAAGAAACUCUCCGAAACUCAAACAUUACAAAGACCUGAAACUUCCCAAAAUUCUUACGAAAGAAACAAAAGAGAGAUAGAUCUCCUUCAUUCUUGAGCAGUGCUACUUGCUUCCACUGGCUCAGCCUCAGUUGAGGCCUCUCCUGCCUUCUUCGCUGCUGCAAAAACACAAUCAUAAGCCGUCAUGAAUCUUUUUUUUAUCUCAACCAUCAAGUAAUGUUGAUUUCAUUGAGUCUGCAAAAUUUAUGUUCUUAGUUUCAUACCUUUCUUCUUCUUUCCACCACCCUUCUUCUUCUUGAUACCCAAGGCUAACCACCCUUUGAUCUCAGGGUCAUCGAUGGUCUUCGUAGGUUGAAGCUCUUGAAGAGUAUGUGAAGUGAUCCUAUCUGAUCCAUUUGGCAUCAGCAAAACUGUGAAUUUAAUCUGGGCAACAAAAUCACCUGUUGAAGAAACAAAAUACACCAUGAGUCACGUUGCCAAGAUUUAUCACGUUGUAAGUAUUUAAUGGAGCAAAACCUUUUAUCAUCCUUACCAGGCUUCUCGUAGAGAACAGGAUAUGGCUGUAGAUGACCAUGGUUCACACACUCCACAAGUCCAAGACGUGCCCUCUUCUCCUCAAGUGACCUGUAUUGAUCGUAUACACUCAAACAACAUUAAAAAGCUGCAAUUAUAUUAAAAAGAUAUAAACGGCUUAACAAAGUACAAAAGACACCUUGCAGUGAAUGGCAUAUGGGGGAACUUCUCUUUAAUCUCGCUGAUUAUGAAUCUGGAGGCCUUCAUCUUCAACUGAUAGUUAACAGCUGCAUCCUUCUUGUAAACAGUUGUUUGCUUCUCGUCUAAAAGCUUUGGCUGCAAAUUGAAAGUGUAUGAGAACUAUGGCAACUGAAGAAGCUUUGCAAAUUGGUCAGCAAGAUGUAAUCAACAAAAAGCAAAUUUACCUUGCCAUCACCAGUGCUUGCCACAAUAUCUAUUGCAUAGACUUCAUUCUCUUCAAACUCAGCAUCAUCGACUCUUGUUUCUGGAGUGGAUACACUUAGGAAACUCUUGCUUGCAUCUAUCACGUUCUGUUUCAUCUGGUGGGAGAUAACCCCUUCCACAAUUUUGCAGUCAUAAGCUUCAGCCACCUUCUGAAUAGCUUCAGUGACAGCAUGGUUCUGCCACAAGAAUAUAAAAAAAUAUAUAUUCAAUUGUCUUGCUUGCAGCGCGUUGUAGGAAUAAAUAAGAAACAACCAAACUCAAAGGCAGUAACAUUUUACUAAUCCCAAUAUCAGAGUAACUACGACAUAAGAGCCUCAUGUGGAUUUUUACUAAUCCCAAUAUCAGAGUAACUAUGACAUAAAAGCCUCAUGUGGAUGUGAAUCCAUAGCAUUCUUAGUAAAUAUUCAUCCUUGGGGAAAUGUAAAUGAGAAAACUAACCAGACUCAGCAAAACCAAUAUCUUAUUCUAGAAACACGAGUGAAAAAGAAAACAAAAACAGUAAGAUGUGUUGAGAAAAGUUGCUAUCACUAAACCUACUAAAAACUAGAAUUAAAAAAAAGGUUCCCAUCAGAGUAACUAUGACAAAAUAUCCAUAGCCAAAAAUAAGAGUUUCAUCAUCUGGGGGUUUGCAAAACGUUAUCAAUCAUUUAAAAAACCAACAACCAGCUUAUAGUUUCAAACUUUCAUGUAAGAGUAGCACCAUAUAGAUAACUACUGGUUACCUUCUUCCCAGGACGUACGAGCCUCAAGGCAACUUCAGCGGCAGUAUUAGCAGCUGCAAUAACAUCAGCUUUGCGUCCAGUAACGGGCCCUUCUUGGAUAACAUGUGUGUGGGCAACAAGAGCAAUGAACCCAUCAAUAUGACAUCCCAUAUCACUGUAAAUGGACAAAGCAAAAACAGCAAACAGACAUAAAACAGUUGAUUCGCAGAGAAACAUCUAAAAGGGAUAGAGACAAAACUUACAUUUUGACCAUAUCACCCUCUUCCAACACAGUCUCGUCGCUGGCGAGGGGAGAGAAAUGACCAACAGUGUUGUUAACGGAAACACACGUGGGAAAAGCGACGCCUCGAUCAAUCUUCUUCUUGACAUUCUUGUACAUGCUCCCUGCUUGCCUUUUUUUUUUUCACAUAGAAAAAACACACACACAUAUGAGAGUAAUGACAUCUUAAAAAGACUAUGAAAAUAAAUACUAACUCAUUGAUAAAGGCGUCUCCCUUCUCGCAGAUAUCGACAAUCUUAGCUUUUGGCUUGCAUUCAGCUAAGACCACCUGCAACGCCUCUUCAAUUUCCAAAUAAAAAAACCGUGAGUAACCUGACCGAAAGAGAGAGAGAGUAUGCGUUCUUACUGUUGACGAUCUCAGCGGCGCUCUUGUACUUGGUGACGACUUCAGGGGAGGUGAGAUCCAGCUCCUUCUCGUCUCUCUCAUCGUCUGAACUCAUCUUUAGCGGCUCUCGAGGAUUGAAACAGGAAGGAAAAGGUUAGGGUUUAGAGAGAGAGAGGUGUGAUUUUGGGUAAAAUGAAAUUGGCGAGAAGCGCAAUGAAGGUGGGUGGUGGCUCAAAUAGCACUAGGGUUGCGCUUGUUUGUUAUGUCAUCUCUUGUUAACGACGCCGUUUUGGGUGUAAGUCCCCCUCUUUUUGUUUAUACGUUUCUGAAUUGCGACCUCGCGUUACUGUCUUUUGAGUCUAGGAGGGGCCGAAUGAAAGGGUUGUGGUCACUUAACAUGUACGUAGACCAGCCCACUAAAGAGUAAAGUUGAAUACUAACUCUUCUACUUUACUUUCUUUCGAGUCUAUGUGUGCGUGGAUAUAAUAAGUUAUAAGUUACUUGCGGCAGAGUUGCACCGGUCUUGAAGUUUUUUGAGGUUUAUAUGCGGUCGUGGUUUGAAAUGUGGUUUGAAGAUUGAAAAAUCCGAAUCGUAGAAGACACAAAGAAACGCAUUGCCGCGGAAGCACUUACAUAGCCUUGAUACAACCAGAGUUGACUUGUUUCUAGUGAUGGUUGGUACAUACAUUAUAUUUUACAGCGUCUUAAGACUAGUCGAUGCCACCACUUUAACCAAAUUUAUGGUUCGCAAUAUAGCGCAUUUACUUUGUGGCCAAAACUCCACUAGUGACUUGAUGCUAAUGCCGUCACGAAUAUACCAAGCACCAAGAACGGCUGUGCGCUAGCCUGUAGUAAUCAAGCAGCGUAUUAUCAUCAAAAGACCUAUCAGCUUUCAAGUUCUUUAGAUAUUUCAAAAUAAAACAAACUCUACAUGUCACCAAUCUGAGUUUUAUUACUAUGCGCACUAGAUGAUGACUUACCUGAUACUUGACGUCGUAUUUGACAGGGUCCUUGAGAAAGUAUUUAAACUGCAGUUUCAACAAGAGUGUAAUAGUCAGACGAGUGACAAGAACGUGUAGUAGCUAGUUUGGAUAUGAUACUGUAAUAUGUCUUUACCUGGAACACAAUCUGUGGAAUAAUCAAAGCAAGCAGCGCCAACGCGUAAUAAGGUUUGCCAGAUGCUAAUAGAUAUCCUGCAACCAGAUACAGAAUUAUUAGCUCAUUUAUCUGCGAUCCCUAGAAACCAAGGAUAUUCCUUCAGCUUCAUUGGACUGUGUUUUUAACCGGUAUAAAAUAUCUAGUUGAUAAGAUCAAGUAUAUAGAAGCCACAGCUGAACGAAAUUCUACAUACCGGCAACUGAGAGCUGAGUAACGUCUAUAGCACCAACGCAUAUCCAUUUUGCAGCUUCAGUGCCAAAAGCUACAGGGAGAGACUGAAGGCCCAUUGCUCUGUCUCCUUCAACACUUUUGAAGUCAUUAACAAUGGCUAUUCCCAACUGCAGUAUUACACAGUUACAUGAAGCAAAAUCAGGCUGUUAAAGAUAGCACAAAAGCAUCAUAAAAAGGUCCCAAGAAGAGUACCCCAGCUAUGCUGUACAAGAGUGUUAGAACGACGACGUCUGGUGUAAGAGUGCCAAACAAUGCUUGUCCAGCCCACCUAUCAAUCAAAUGACCACACAAAAAAAAAAAGAAUCAAUGAGAUGAGAACACGGUAAAUAUUGAUGCGCUAUAUUUUCUUACCAUGGCAAACUGAUAUAGCUUGCUCCAAGUGCAAAAUUUCCAACCCAUCCAUUUUGUUUUAGCUGCAAAGAGACCAGUUCAUGUAUUGAUAAGUUCUAAAUCCAAAUACAGACACAAAAUGUCUUGACACUACAACAAUUGAACUUAGGUGUAGAACAUACCUUCAAAGGUGGAGCAGAGUAUAUAUAAGAGAGCAAGGAUCCUCCCAAAGCAAGAUAGAACAAAGUAGGAGUUGUAUGCCCGGCCUGAAAAAGGAAGGUUUAGUCAUUCUGAUGUGCACUUUUAACUGCACUACAUACAUAAAAACCACCAACUUACCCACACAUCUAAAGUUCCAGCAAUUCCAAGACCUCCCAGUAACAGCACCCAGACUUGUGUAAUAACCUGAGUUGCAAACAAGAAGGAGAAAUGAUUAUCAAACAAACUAAUGUUUUUAAAAGCUGAAAAUGUUCUAUAUCAGUACCUCUUGCUCUGAUAUUGCUCCAGAUGGAAUUGGACGAUACGGCUCGUUAAUCGCAUCAAUAUCUCGAUCAUACCAGUCGUUGAUUGUCUAGAAAAGGACACUUGUUAGGUUGUAUUAGCAUAAGAACAACUCAGCUUUUUGUUCUACCAAAACCAGACCUGUGUAUAGCCAGUAAGACACGGGCCAGACAUCAACAUGCAAAGAAUCGACUUAGCAACAUCCUCUGGAGUCCAGUGGAAGUUCCCUACCAGAAGAAACAAAUAAUGAAGGAAGAAUAAUGUGGUGAAGACGUCAAAAAGAUUGUAAAAAAAAAAAAACAUAAGAAGACAGUGUUUUAUUCAUCUUCAAAGAUGUUCAUAUGUUACCUGAAGCAGCAGCACCACAGACAACUCCCCAAACUAAUGGAGGCCAAGUGACUGGCUUUGUAAGCUGUAGACGAAUCUUCCAUUUAUUCUGAACACACAUAUAAGUGAAAAGAUAACUUAACAUGCAGCAGCAUUCUCACAUAAUUUCCACCUAAAAUGUGAUGUUUUUGGUAGUUACCAACUCAACACCUAACACUAUGCAAGUCAACAUCACACUAUGUACAACUAUGACGAUUUUUUCUCAUUUCUAUUUAAAGAUGAUACAUCCAAACUUAAUUUCAUAUGCAUUGGAGAAAAAUAGAUUAAAGAAAAUAAUCGGAGAAGAUUACAGUCUCUUGAGCGGCUCCUUUGAUACCAAGAAGCUGGUUAAUGCUCGAACCACCACCACCGCCUGGUGCCUUUUCCGGUACCUGAGAUUUAACUGCCGUGGAAAUUCAAAAUCAUUAAACUUAACGAAAAAGUUAAGAGAAAAUGAAAAUGAAAAAUUCAAAAGAGCUACACAAACCUUUAUCAGUAUCAGUCUCCGCAGCACGCACAACCAAUCUCCGCCCUAUGUAACAAAAUCAAUUAGAAAUCGCAGGAACAAAAGCUCAGCAUCCAAUUAAGGAAACGGAAUGUACCAGAAGAUUCGAAGCCCGACGUGGACCAACCGUGGCGUCGACGAGUGAACUCGACGGGAUUUCGGAGGGACAGAACUCCUAGACGUUCGGCGGAGUUAACUCGGGAGGGGAGGAUGGAGGAGACGGAGUGGAGAAUGGAAGUCAUAGAAGCGGCGGGCGGAGAGAAUCGUCUACGGUGGCAGUAAGCCGGAGAAGGAGUAGUAUGAGUUUUUGGACGCUUUGCUGUUUCGGGGAAAUCAGUGGUUGUAGCUUACCGGCGAUAAGAGUCUACGUCACGGGUUUUGGCGGCCUCGUUUCGUUUGCCUUACAGCCACGUGGGGAGAUUCUAUUGGGUGAUCGUGUUGAACUAAAACGGACAUAUAAUAGAUAUUUUAGGCCCAUGUCGUAUGAGAAGCCCAUUAGUACGGACGAGGACGCGUGUGGGUAGUAGUCAAAUUUUUUUCUUUUAAUUUGGAUAUUUUAUUUUCGAAGUCUUUGAUAUCAAGGCAAUGAGUUUGAGCUUCUUGAGUGUCCUGACAAGUACGUCGCAAACCCAUUCAAUGGACAUUUUAAAACAUAAUUUAGUAUUAUUCCUUGAGUUAAUUUAAUGUGAGGAGACAAAUACAGCACGAAUCCAAACUGCAAUUAUGGUUUGUACAUGUCCCUUUAGAGGUCAAGUUUAUUUGACGAACUUUGUUCUCCACGGUACAUUACCAAAGUAAACUCACAGACAGAAUAACAACAAACACUGCACAACCUUAAAGACGGCUACGGCUCCGUGAAGCAGCAGGUUUGAAACUCGCAAUCCCUGUUACUUCCCUCGCCGUCACUAAGGUGUUUAUAUCGUAAGUCCCUUCAUAUGUAUAAAUGGGUUCAAGGUCACAGAAAGCCUGCAAUAUUUUUCCACAUUUUAGAGCUUAAACUCACUGAACAUUUUUCAUCAACAAAUAUGAAAGAUUUAGCGCACCUUUGCCACCAGAAAAUCUCCUACAAUUCCAUUUCCACCGAGUAAUUCUCGGCCUAACGAAGCAGUUUCCCUUGCCUUUGAUGAAAUCCAUGCCUAGUGAAAGCACAUGAUUGGUUUAUAUUAUACAAAUGAUCAUCAGUAAAUGUUCACUACUGAGCUAAUGUUUGAUUCCUCCACUUACUCAAGCUCAUAGCAUAGCUCAGUGAGUGUGUAUCAAAUAAUUAAUUAGCAAGGAGGAAACUAAAUGAUCUGUAAGCAAAAAAAAGGAUUGGUUGUUAUACCUUUCCUAAACUGGCUUGACCAGGAGUCAUCUGACCCGACUCAUAUAACUUGCAGAGGCGCCAACCCAUCAGAAACAUCGCUUGAACAUUACCCAGCAUCUUCACAAGCUUCUGUUGGUUUAUCUGGAAUGCAGCCAACGGUGCUCCAAACUGUUUCCUCUCCUUUAGAUACCUUCAAAAAAUAGGCAUUCCAUGGAAAUGUUUUUUUGGUAAGUAACAAAAUGAAUGCUCAUACAAUGUUACAAAAUGAAUGCUUCUCCGGUAAUACCUGUGACACAUGUCGUAGACUCCCAUUGAUACACCAAUUGGUUGCCAGGCCACCAUUACACGUGAGACAGCAAGGACCUAUUCAAGUGAAGCACAGAAAAACAGUUCAAUAUCACGGAGAAAAUAGGAAGCUAUGACGUUUUGUUUGUGAUAAAAUAUUGAAGACCAUUUCUGGAUCAUGUGUAUUCAUCACAACAGUACCUUGCUUGUGUCUUGAAAAGAAUUUAGUCCAGGUAACCGCUCCUCAUCAGGAACAAAGACAUUCUGUAGUAGAAUAUCUCCAUUUUGAACAAUACGUAAACCUAUUUUAUUUGGGAUCUUAGUAACCGUUAAGCCAGGCGCAUCUUUCUUGACUAUGAAUCUGCAAGACGGUAGCUCAGUAGUGAACAUUUACACAACAGCCCAGUAUGUUAUUGAUUAUGGUCCAUAUAAAAUUUAAUUCCCUAGUGCAUCCAGUCACAGAUCCACCUUAUUAACUUCAUUUUUGAGAAACGACCUCCAACCUUAAGAUAUAAAAUUUGAGAUAUCUAGUAAACCAAGAAUCUGACAUACCCAUUCACUUGGUUAGUUGUCGUAUUCCUAGCAAGGAUGAUCAACAGAUCUGCAAAGGUGCUGUUACCGAUCCAACGCUUUUGUCCCGUAAGUACCCAACCUCCUUCGACCUGAUGAAAUAGACAAUUGAAACAAGUCAAUAUUCUGGUAACCGCAGAAGAGGAUACAAGUGAAGGAAACAGUAAAACACCUUUGUGGCAGUUGUUUGUAGAGCACUUGCAUCACUUCCAUUGUCAGGUUCUGUCAAAGCCUUUAUACAUGUCCAAAUAUAUGUAAUGGUAUCAGCAUCAAGUUUACAUAACGCAAACACUUAUACAAGAGAUGAUGCAAAUCUUCUAAGUUCAAGAACCACGCACUCACCCAACAAGUCACAGUUUUCAUCUGAGCCAAAGAAGGCAAAUACUUGUGCUUCUGUGCUUCUGAUCCACAAAGUGCUGUUCUUGGAAAAAAGUUCAUAAGAAAUUAAGCUUAUGCAAACCAUACCAAUCUGUUUAUCACAAGCUAAGGACAUCUUUACCAAUAGUGAGCAUGCCCAAAGAGGUAUGCACCAAAUUAAAAGUCCCACAGCUUGCAUCAACUCUAGAUAUCUCUGCUGUUGCAAUGGCGUUGGCUGUGAUGGAGAGGCCAGGACAGCCAUAACCCUAAAAAGCCAGACCAAAUUAAAAAAAAAAACGAAUCUUCCAUCCACAUAUAAAAAAAACAGAAACAAAGCAUUUCAACAUACCUUAAUAGAGCCACCGACAACACCUAAAGCUCCAAGCUUUGGAAUGAUAUGGAAUGGAAACUCUGCCUUCUCCCAGUACUGAUGAUGAGUAAAAAUAUCAAAGAAAGAAGGAUGAUGUCACGCAAUAAUACUAUCAAAGUUAGCAAACAAACAAACAGGAAGAAGAUAGACACACCUCUGUCAUAAUCGGAGCAACUUCUUUCUCCAUGAACUCCCUCACUCUCUUCCGCACAGCCUGCUCCUCCGGAGUCAACAGUUCAUUGAAAUGGUAAUAGUCUGAAGCUGUAAUCAAGUAUAGGAAACACACAGAUUGAAGCAAAAGCACAACAAAACAUACAUAAUCUCUGAAAUAAAAAGUACUUACUGCAAGGUGGGAACUUAGAAGCUGGGGUUGCUUGAGGAAAUGCAACGGAUACGUCCAUAGCCGGCAAAUCGAAAUACGAACUCUUCACCUUCUUCUCAGCAUCAUCUACCAAUCCAAUUCCAAAAUCAAAAACCUCAAAUAAGAUUUCAUUUCCUAUACACUUCUGAUUCCGUAACACUACGCAAUCAUGAGUCCCUUUGGAUAUAUCUACAAAUGAAAGCAAUCGCGAAACAGGAAGAGAUAACAAAAGAUCAAAGCAGCAAGCAAAAGAAUAGCUGAAUCAGGAGAACGAAACAUGCAAAACCAUUAGAGAAAAGAGACGAUAAACGAACCUCGAUCUCUAGAUGAUGAGUUGGAUCGGAUGGAGUUGACGCGGAGGUGGUCUUGGAGGUGUUGGAGGAACUUGUCACCGACUCCUCCGGUCGCGUUGUUAUUAGGUUGUGGAGGAGGAGGGGGUGCAUAGACUUGUGCGCCUUUGCAACCUUCUGCAAGAUUUAAACUUCGCAUUGUGGUGAAUAGAUUAUGCUGAUGCUGCAUCCUUCAAUCAAGCGUAAACCCAGAUCGAAAUGAACACAAAUUCGAUUUCAUAACCGCUUAAUUUUUGAAGAUCUGAGGAUUCGAUCAAAACAAUAGAAAUCAAAGAUUUACAAUUACGCCAAGAUUGGAUCACGGAGUCCGUGAAACCUCUAAUCGAGAAAAAAAAAAGGAAGUAAAGAAAAAUUAAUUUGUAUUCACUAAUUUUCACGAAAGACGGAAACUUAACGGAGCUCUCCUUCUCCUUCUUCUUCUCGGAGAUGGUGUUUUUUUUUUUUUUUGCAGUGCAAGUUUCGUUUUUUUUUUGGGGUUUGUUGACACUAAAAUUACGAAAAAUUCCGUAAAAAUAGAGAUGUGUAAUUGGAGGAAGAAUCUUCCUCCUCCGUUCGAUCCUUAGCUCUCUUCGUCUUCUCUCUCUGUUUGGUUUUUUUCUUUAUUGUUUUUUUUUACCCUUCGUUUCAGAGAUGCGUUCUAAAAUUAAUUUGUGGCACCUUUUUUACUCUUUUACUUUUGUCCUCUUGCUAGUUUAUUUCCAUUUCUUCAAUUUUAAUCUUAGGUUAUAUAUAGACCUUAUCUACUGCCGUUUUUCUUUAUUUCUUUCCUAGAUUUCGCGGCGCUUUUUUUUUACUUUUCCAAAUGUUGUAAAAUAUUAAUUACUAAAAUAUUUACUUUGAUUAGUUUAUUUGCAGGAUAUUUUAUUAUUUUUACCAACAAAUUAAAAUUGUAGAAAAAGCCAGGAACUGUUUUGAUUGUCCAAUAAAUACAACAAACAAAUCUAUAAAUCAGUUAUCAGUUAUAAUCCGUUGUAUAGUUUUUCAUUCUUCAACCACGUAAUCCUUGUAGUUUGUCUACUAGUUGGCCAUACCUGUAUUAAAUUCUGAAAAAGAGCCAUCAUAAAUCUGUCAGUAUCUUCCAUAUAACAAUUUAUCCGCAGAGAUUCGUUGUUAUCAUAUGAACACAUAAUCUAGUCAUUUAUCCCCCAGUAUUCAUUUGUUUGACGCUACCACAUACUGGUGUGGGUGUCCAUAAAACAAGACCCAAUGAUUUACUGUAAAAAAAAAAAAUCUCAAAGCCAACCAUAUUAUUUACUAUCAUCGAGGAUUUUUAAAUAAAAUAAUUUUCCUGACAGAACAUAUAAAUAAAAAUGAAUUAUUAUAUGUGCUGUUUGAUAGCCGGCAAAUAGAUUAUGCCAACCAACAUUGAGCGAGCGGCGAAGUCAUGUCAACACGUUUUACUGUUUAGUUUAUGAUUAAGGAAGUAAGCUUAUUGAAAUCUGCAUAAUAAGACGCUAUGAUUAAGUCUGAUAUUGCUGGUUUGAUUUGGCAUAAGAAUUAUUAUUAUAUACAUAAAUAUAAUUCCUUGGAACAUCUAUAAUUGAGAUGAGAUGAGAAUGAAGAAAACACAUAAGGUCAUGUGGGUGAGACAGCUCAGAAUGUCGUUUUAGUUAAAGAGGAAACUUUUCAUCCAGAAGCACGGAUCGUACUAUUUACACAGUUUUGUACAUUACCACCACCAAAAUCACUUGUCUAUUUCCCUAUGCCCCCACCUUCUAUAAUUUAAGGUAGGCCUGCGGGCGGAUUCGGUUUAAUUGGAUUUGAAGAAAGUCUAUUGAACCUAACCGAAUAAAAUUAAAAUGGAUUAACCCAAUCACUCAAUAGUCAAUACUCGUUUUCAUUUCUGACACAACCUUAACACCAAGAUGUGUAUUUUCCCGAUUUGAUCAUAUGUAAUUGAAUUUUACAGUGAAAGUUAGAGCAUAUGGGAAGACAAUCCGAAAAUCUAAAAUCGAAACUUGAACUGAACUUCAUACAAACCUCAGGCGUACAAAAACAUGUAUUCAGACUCAGACACUGAGAGAUUUAUAAUAACAUUCCAAGGAUCAUAAAACCAAUAAUUUUUCUUAAACAUUUUCUCAUUUAACAACAGUAAUAAAAAGGAACAAGAUAAUUUUUUUAUUUAUUUUUGGAUACGUAACAAUAAUAAAAUGGUCAGUCAAAUUUCUCCCAGUCUUGAGUUACAUUAGCAGAAGGAGAAGCUGGAGGAGGAGGGUUCAAACUUCCAACACCGUUUCCGAAUGUUUCCCACUCAGUGCUUACGGCUGCAGCUUUGCUCUGAUCCACAAAUGGGUUUGAACAUCUCCCCUUCAACGUAUCCACAGCUUCCUGCAACUUUUGCACUCUACGAACCUGCAACACAAACCCCCGCCCCCAAUCAAAUCUAUAUCCCUGCUCGGUUAACAACUAAAUAUAGAAAGAAGAGACUGUAUCAUAACAUAACCAAAGUCUCUACAUUUUACCACUAACUGAGAAACAACUAUAAAAGAAAUCCAAGUGUACAUCUACUAAAGUCUACAUUUAGAUCAUUGCAACUCAUCCCAAAGCCACAUAGCUCACAAGUACUGAGAUAAAAUAUAGUUUAUGAUACAGACAGGUGAAAACUGUACGAAAUGUAAAGCUAACCUCUGCCUUUCGCAAUACUCUAGCUUCUCCUUCUGCCUCUAUACCAUCCAAUUUAAGCAACUGCCUCAUGAGAAGCUCAGCAGUCAUGUCAAACUCCUCCACCGCAACUUUCGUCCCUCCAUUAACAGAAACUUCCAAAGCAACAACCUAAUUUUUUUUCAAACCACAAUCCUUCAUUCCCACUUUUCCUACAAGUAACAAAACCAAAAAAGAUUGCGUCUCUAAAAAAACUCACCUUAUCUGAGAGCUUAUCAAUCUCUCCAGAGACAGCUUUAACUGCAGCAACAGACUUAGCCAUCUCUUCAGUCAUCACUGGAGGCUGUUCAACUUGUUCAACUCUCUUCUUAGGUUCCUCCACAAGGACAACCUUAGACCCAUCCUUAACACCAGAAGCUUGUAAUUGCUCAGCGUCAUCUUUCUCAACUCCCCUGAACAAGAUCUUCAGAUCAGCAGCCUCUAAUCCAGUUUUCUGGACAAGGGCUUUCUUCACAUCCCCUGUUUAAACAACAUCCAGAGUCUAAAGAUCACAACUUUAAAUUGUAUUAACACAAACCCAAAUAAGGAGUUUUCGUUUGUUCAUUUGAGGUUUUUACCGAAAGUGGCGUGAGCAGAAACGGGAAGAUCGUGGUGCGAGGAGCCAUGGGAGACGUUGAUCCUGAUGGUCUGAACGAAAACGGCGGGAUGUUGAGGGUCGGAGGAGGAGGGAGAGUCGUCUCUUCGUUGGACGAGCAUACCACCAGGUCUCACUUCCCACUCCGAAUCGUCGGUUGAGUUAUUCAUCAUCGUCGUCGGAGCAAGUGGAAUGGGAUUAAACCCCCCUUUUCGAGGUCGAGACUAGGGUUUUCAACUCUUCCUUGUUCUCAUGUGAUACGAAUUCUCCACAUCUACGGGGGUUUUUCAACUUUUUUGCUCAACUUUGGACCACAAACCAAAACCCGGUUCUAGAUCUAGUAAACCGGACCAGAUGGAACGGGUCGGUCGGUAUAUUGGUCGUACACAUUAACUGAUUGUUGGUUGAUUUGGAAUUGAAGCAAAAGGAGCGGCUCUUAGACAGGACUGUGCUGGGCCGGCAUAACCGCCACAACACAUGGAGUGUUCAAGAAAAAGAAGAAUCAUCAUGAGCAAAAAAAAAGAGAGCAAAGAUAUUGGAAAAAAUCAUGACUACAAAUACUCAAAUGCUGAAAGGGACUGAUUGAACCGAAACUGAGUUACCAGGAAGGACUUGUCCUGUAACCGAACAGGGUUCAGUCUGAAACAGAGUAGCAGGUAGUGUAAUGGGUGGGUUGUCCCAUAUUUUAAGAUGGAUCAAGCACACAGUAUCACUCAGGGAAACGCAAUAGAGCUGAUGGAAGUUGGAAACAGCAGCGACAAAACCGAAGUGGGUUCAAUCCCAUUCCAUAUUGUCUUGUUUUUGAUGACUCAAAUCAUAAACCAUCCACAAUCAUUUUUUUCAUUGCACUGAAAUUUGAAAGACCAUCCCAGGCCAUGAGAUGCAAAUUUGAGUAACAAUUGAUACAACAACUAUACAGUCUACACUGUGAUCAAGAACCACGCCCAAAGGGGUUAGUGCCAAGAAAGAGAGGCCAAAUACCUCAUAAUACUAAGGUUAACAGAUUUAAUAUGCAAUUCUAGAGGCAAUAAACUUUUCAAAAGUACAAACUUUGAAUUCUUCAGAGCCAGAAAUUCCUAGCUGGAAUGCUUUAACAACAAGCUCCACCAUAACCGAAAACUCUGGAAGAUGUGUUCCCAACUCUUGUAUUUAGCAAGGCUAGUAAUAAUAAGAACAAGGUCACACAGACGCCUACUUUGGUAAUAAGUUUCUGAUACUAAGCUUCACUAGGUAAAUCUAAUCUAUGUGCGUAACAACAACACAUCCAAAAACAACACGAGGAGCCAAGCACUCCCUCAUGAAAGUGUUUACUUUAUUUGAUCAAAUAUAACAAGAAAACAGAUUAGCUCAAGCCUUGUGGAAUCAAACAAAGCUCUAGUUUAGUGUAAUCUCCUUCCUCCUCCUAUUUCUCAAAAAUACUCAAAAUCAAAUCAAUGUUUUCCAGAAACAAAAACAUUCCUGAUACUCCGGAAUCUAUAAGAAUCAAUUAUAUUUCAUAACAUGACCAAUACUCAUCUAAGAAGCAACCUUAGCAGCUUCUUCACUCGCGUGAUUCGCUUCAAUAAUCUUCUUAUUCUUCUCAAUCGCCGCCGCAACCUCCUGAGGCAUAUACUUCUCAUCAUGCUUAGCCAAAACCUCAGUCGCCGAGAAGAAACAAUCAAGCCCCCUCGCCUUCCCGGAGACAGGCUUCGUCGACACCUCCUUCCUCACCUCAUCACUAAACGGCUUGAUAAAACCUUCCACCACAACAGAGUGACCUUCCCUGAACAGAUCAGGCAACGAGCCUUUGUACCUCACCAGAAUAUCCGUAAUCAGAUCCGUGAUCACGAACUCCAUCUCCUGAGACGCCGCGGGCUGCGCGACGCUGCCUUCGAGGACGAGGCCUCCGAGCCUGAACUUGUUCUUCGUCGGAUUCGCGGCGAAUUUCUCCAUGGCGUCGGAGGGGGUUAGGUAGAAGACGAGCUGGUCUUGGAACUGGUUGAGGACGAUCACCACGAAGCCCGCGAUGCAGCUGAAGGUUAGCGCGUAGGUCCAGAGGCGGCGGUUCUGCAUCUGACGGGCCUUGGCUC